AUGCCUCCUCACAGCCUGUUCUGUGUGCUGGUGGCCUUGGCUUUCUCUGGAUCUAAUGUGGCCGAGAAAGUGAUUCAGGUCUGGUCAACAGCAAGCAGGCAGGAGGGCGAAGAACUCACCCUGGACUGUUCAUAUGAGACAAGUCAGGUCUUAUACCAUCUUUUCUGGUACAAGCACCUUCUUAGUGGAGAGAUGGUUUUCCUUAUUCGACAAACGUCUUCUUCUACUGCAAAAGAGAGGAGCGGCCGCUAUUCUGUAGUCUUCCAGAAAUCACUCAAAUCCAUCAGCCUUAUCAUUUCAGCUUUACAACCAGACGAUUCGGGAAAGUAUUUCUGUGCUCUCUGGGAGCUGG
This is a non-coding RNA of Mus musculus (house mouse), 352 nucleotides long. Lineage: Eukaryota; Metazoa; Chordata; Mammalia; Rodentia; Muridae. The record is from the annotation of a RefSeq genome assembly.